AAGUCGUAACAAGGUCUCCGUAGGUGAACCUGCGGAGGGAUCAUUAACACGUUUCCAAAACGUUUAUCAACCCAAUCACCGUGAACUAAAACAACUCCCUUUAUAAUGUGACGAGCGAAUAAUCAUCAGGGUGGAGUCUUGGGAAACUAAGACUAUGACUCGCUCUAGGGAUCCUUGAGAUCUCAAUCCAUUAUAAAGUGUCUUUGCGACCACCUGGCAGUCUGCAUUUUCGGAUGUAGCGUUCUGCCGAAUACUUUCACAACAUUUUUAACCCCUUUAACAACAUACUAAUAACUGAACCAUUUUUUCUACAUGACAUAUUCGUAUGACAUGUGAAAAAAGAUAUACGUAAUGCUGAACAACUCUUAGCAAUGGAUAUCUUGGUUCUC
This 389-nucleotide unclassified non-coding RNA is filed under the name fungal sp. Its description in RNAcentral is "partial internal transcribed spacer region". The stretch from base 1 to 46 matches the Rfam family "Eukaryotic small subunit ribosomal RNA", at positions 1786 to 1831 of the family's 1831-position model. Lineage: Eukaryota; Fungi. The record is from RNAcentral.